GAUUCUAUAAUUUUGUUUCAACUUUGAAUCCAAUUCUCCUUUUACAGUAUCCCAUAAAAAUGGAGCAUAUUAGAGAUGGAAAAUGAUAUAGCAUGUAAUUUCAUUGAUUUGUUAAUGAGUAGGUAAAACAAUAAAAAUAAAGAAAUAUAAAAAAAAGUGUGUUAAAAAUCUUUUAGAAAAAAAAACACUCAUUCAACAGGAGCCAUAAUGGCAACAGGAACGACAAUAGGAGCAUGCAAAAAUAGAUCUUCUACGAUCUCUUCAUCUUAAGAAACACAACAAUGUUCUACAUUAAAAGCCUUUGACAUACCUUAAUCAGGUACCUGCAAUAAAAAAACAAAAAGAUGUGUAAAAAUUAUGGUUCAAAAUACUUUUGAAGACCACAAAAAGGACAACAUUAUGGACUAAAAGAAAUGUUAUUAUUUUUUAAUAGAAACAAUUAUGGGGAUAGUUUUGUCAAUAAUAAACAAACAUUAUAAAUUAACAACAAAUUAUUAAUGAAAAUAAACUACCUUCAACAUAUGAUUAGGGUCGUCCUGCUCUUUCUGUUACCCACACUUUAAUUAAGUUCUUCGUAUAACCUACAAGAAACAGAUGUCAAAUAAGUAAGAUAAGUAAAAUCCAUCAAACCAAUGUUUAUCACUUCUAAAAAAGUAGAAAACCUAAUAACUCCAUCUGCAAGGAAAUCAUUCCCAACACAUCAAGAAAUAGAUUAGUUUUUAGAUUCAAAUUUAGAGAAAAAGAGACAGAAUAAACUUUGAAUCAUAAAAAUACCAACAUAUUGUUCAACACCAACACAAUGAAGAUCAAAUGAAUCCUCCUUGGAAUAAAGCUACUUCAUCUUAUUUAGUGGUGUGGUCCACCCUAAACAUCUAUGACCAUCUGGAGCUUUUCAAUAAAGUCAUAUGCACCUUCAUUGGGGCUUUAUUCCACCAGAACAAAAAGUAUAUCCAAGAAACUGAACUACUAAAACAAAAAUAAAAAAUAAAAAAUAAAAAUGACUCAUUCCUCGUAAAAUAAACCAAGACAUUUAUCAAACAGUUUGUAUGCAUAAUGUUAUCCCAAAAAUUGGUUCCACACAAUACAAUAUGUUGGGGCAUAAAGACCCAGAGAUAGAUUUGUGUUCCUUCGUUAAUCCUCUCUGUAAAAACAAUGUUGUAACAGAAAGCCUAGACUAAAAAAAUAAACAGCCCCUUAGAUUCAGCUUCAGCAAAGUAGUAAAAAAAAUAUCUCCAUUUUGAUUCAUGAAUGGAGAUGUAGUCUCUCUAAUUGCUUCAUGAGACAUGUUGGAAAUGGUAGCCCAAUCAGACCAAAACAACAAUAAGGAAACUUAAUUAUCUCUUCCAUGCCCCAAAACUUUUGUGAUGUUAUAUAAUAAAGGCUAUAUUUUUCAACAUCUGUAUUUCUCUUUACCAUGAUGUAUAUGAGUUAUCAAUCUUCAUGCUCUUUACCAGAAUCUGUAAACGUGGCAGAGUAAGUCCAUCCAGAUUGAUAGGCUUUAAAGCUGGCUUUGCAUAAGAAUUGUCACUUCUAGUAGUUUUAGGAGCACAUGUUGGAUAUAGAGAACUAAUAAUUAAGCUUCACUAAGGUAAAAUAGAAAAGAUAAAAAGAGUUGGAGAUCUGCCUUCAAUAUUCCUGUCUAAACUGGCAGUCAUUUUGAAAAAUUGAUACGCUAUAAUUACUUGCCUGCAAGGUACACAGUGAAACACAUAAGAAUCGAGACAUAAAUUGUAUUUCUAGUGGCAAAUAAGCACUAUUACUUUUGAAGCUAUACAUGCAUUACAAAAAGCAAACAGUCUUAACAUAGUAGAUGUAAAAAUUCCAGUUUACCCAUAAAGUUCAAACCUGUGAUGUAGUUGAAGCCAACAAAGAUGAGAUUCAUGAAAACCUGCUCAAAUAAACAUUUUAAUAUUAAGAUAUUUCUUACUAUGGAAAAUGGUGAAAAUUCAUGGAAAUAAAAAGAACUCCAUAUGGAAAAAAAAAACACAUAGAUCUAGAUGCAACGUGAAGAUUUGUGAUCAGGGACAUUUCCAAUCACCCAAUACCUCAACUUCUAAAUUAUGAGAGGAUUCUGUCAAGACCUAAUCACAAAAUUUAUAAACAUAAACAAAAAUAAGAGGAAGAUAAACAAUUAUAUGGGUUUAAAAUCAUACAUCUUGUUUGUAUAAUAUUUGCAAAUCCGGUGAAUGUGGUGCCUAGGGUAUAAUAGUGUCAACUAUUGGAACCCACGAGAACAUUGUGCUAAUUUUAGAACUUACUGAUAUAGAUUGGCACUGUCCAGAUUAUGAAGGCGGAUGAGGGGAGAAACAAUUGGAUUCAACAUAAAUCGAUCAAGGAUUAAAGGGGGACGAGUGUUUUUUAAAAUGAUUGGGAGGAUGAAAGGAUACAAUGAGAUUGAGAGAGAAAGGCUACGUAUAUGCUAAAUGGAAUUGAAUCUAUAAUUCGAGAUGGGAAUAAAUAACAACAACAAUUUGUAGAUUUUGCAUCUUCGAUUGCAUAUGGGAAAGUAAAAUACAAAAAUCUGAACCUGGAAAAUCUAGCCGUGUUGAUCAAGCCCUAAUCACAAAAAUAAGAACAAAUUAGAGAUACAUAAGAAAUGGAGAAAUUAACACAUUGUUAUAGGAGAGAGAGAGAGAGAGAGAGAGAGAGAGAGAGAGAGAGAGACCGCUCAAGAACAAUCGAAAUCGUUGAUAUCCUUUUUUGGAAGGAGUUAUCAGGGUGACCUUCAAUUCACGUUGUAAGCUACAAACUAAAUACCACCAAAUGUUAACUAAUAAGUGUAAAUAGGAUGAAAAUGUUGACGUAAAGCAGAUAUCAGAGCAAGCAACCCAAGCGAUAAACUCUUAAAUACUCUAGCAGCAAGAUUUUGAGGAUUUACAGAUAGUGGAUCGGUGAUGACGAUGGGUAUGGCGAACCCUAGGACAUCAGUGAUGGUGGCUGAUGUUUGGAUGAUGGGUGAUGUCGUGAAGGUCUCGAUUGGUUAUAAUGGCAACGAAGAUCGAGUUUGGGUAGGGUUUAUGGAUCUCGGAUUAAACGAUUCAAUUGGGUGAAGAUGAAGAGCAAGUCAAUAUAUGCAGAAUUUAAGAUAUUUGGUGAAGCGUAUUUGGAUGAGAAGACUUUCAAAUUUUGAAUGAACCCUGAAUUAAGGGAAGAAGAUCAGAUUUAUAAGGAUUAAAAAACAUGGUUAAAAUUUAAUAUUAUUUUAUUAAUGGUCACUUGUACCAGUAGCUUAAUGGUUUGGACGUUUUAAAAAAUAAUAUUUUUAUAUUUAAUCUAUUUUUAGAAAUAGUUAGAUUUUUUUUAUAAGAUAGUAUAUAUAUAUAAAAUUCAAAAUAAUCAAUAUAUUAUAUCAAUUUAGUAUAUAUGAAUCAUUAUAUCAAAUUUAACAACAACGUUAUUGUUAUAUUUUAAAAAACAUAUAUUUGUAAAAACUUCAACUAUAUAGGUGUUUCUUUGCAACGCACGAACAUUCGUCUAGUUAUAAUAUAAACUCGACACAAAACUAUAAGAUAUAUGGUUAAAACAAGGCUAACAAAAGUUUGCAAUAACAAAUUCAACGUCAACCAGAAGGAUUUCCCCCACGUUGCGAGGGUCGGAAGGUGUC
RNAcentral lists this long non-coding RNA (3604 nucleotides) under Lactuca sativa (garden lettuce). RNAcentral describes it as "long non-coding RNA (LSAT_LNC001894)". The record is from RNAcentral. Lineage: Eukaryota; Viridiplantae; Streptophyta; Magnoliopsida; Asterales; Asteraceae.